UUAAAAAUGUCUUAUACGUUCACACUUCAUAUAUUAUGACCUUUUUUCAAUAUCUAAUUUGAUACCGACAGACUUUUUGGUUCUCAUGGUCGAAAUCAUCAACAACAUUUGAAUUUUCUCCGGCUAAAAAGUUGUUCAAAGAUUGGAUAUGACCAUCAGACCCUAGGUUUAGUUGGCGGGAAAGUGCAUUCAGCAGCGAUUAGCUUAUUAAUUUUGAGAGGCGCUUACAUGUGAUGUGGUGGAUCCGUUGAUCCUCGAACUUCGUGUCUUUGCUUCACAUGAUCGUAACACUAACGUUUUUAAAUGCAUGUAACGAUUUGGUGAUGUCAAAAAAAAGAAACGCAUGUAAGACACCUUUUUGAGAGGCGCUUACAUGUGGAUGUGGUGAAUAACAUGAAACACUUUUUUGGCC
Long non-coding RNA from Camelina sativa (false flax), 412 nucleotides. RefSeq lists it as uncharacterized. Lineage: Eukaryota; Viridiplantae; Streptophyta; Magnoliopsida; Brassicales; Brassicaceae. The record is from RefSeq and is a predicted model, not a curated record.